GACGAACGCUGGCGGCGUGCCUAAUACAUGCAAGUUGAGCGCUGAAGGUUGGUACUUGUACCAACUGGAUGAGCAGCGAACGGGUGAGUAACGCGUGGGGAAUCUGCCUUUGAGCGGGGGACAACAUUUGGAAACGAAUGCUAAUACCGCAUAAAAACUUUAAACACAAGUUUUAAGUUUGAAGGAUGCAAUUGCAUCACUCAAAGAUGAUCCCGCGUUGUAUUAGCUAGUUGGUGAGGUAAAGGCUCACCAAGGCGAUGAUACAUAGCCGACCUGAGAGGGUGAUCGGCCACAUUGGGACUGAGACACGGCCCAAACUCCUGCGGGAGGCAGCAGUAGGGAAUCUUCGGCAAUGGACGAAAGUCUGACCGAGCAACGCCGCGUGAGUGAAGAAGGGUUUCGGAUCGUAAAACUCUGUUGGUAGAGAAGAACGUUGGUGAGAGUGGAAAGCUCAUCAAGUGACGGUAACUACCCAGAAAGGGACGGCUAACUACGUG
This 497-nucleotide ribosomal RNA is filed under the name uncultured bacterium. Its description in RNAcentral is "partial 16S ribosomal RNA". It matches the Rfam family "Bacterial small subunit ribosomal RNA", at positions 28 to 507 of the family's 1533-position model. The record is from RNAcentral.